UACGGAGGAUCCGAGCGUUAUCCGGAUUUAUUGGGUUUAAAGGGUGCGUAGGUGGCCUGUUAAGUCAGGGGUGAAAGACGGUAGCUCAACUAUCGCAGUGCCCUUGAUACUGAUGGGCUUGAAUGAACUAGAGGUAGGCGGAAUGUGACAAGUAGCGGUGAAAUGCAUAGAUAUGUCACAGAACACCAAUUGCGAAGGCAGCUUACUAUGGUUUUAUUGACACUGAGGCACGAAAGCGUGGGGAUCAAACAGGAUUAGAUACCCAGUAGUCC
Molecule: ribosomal RNA, 272 nt
Filed under: uncultured prokaryote
Description: partial 16S ribosomal RNA
Rfam family: Bacterial small subunit ribosomal RNA
Source: RNAcentral